UGCUGCGGUUGGGCUCAGGCUGUGCUGGCGCUCGGUGAGCAGCCUCCAAUUAGCAUGUGACAUCCUUUGGGGGAGCCUGGCCAGCCCCAGCUCCCGGGGAGCGAGGCUGUGCUGGGCUCCCGAGCCCCCUGUGCCCCGUGCCGGGAUCUCUGUGCCUCGUUCCGGCCGGAUGAGCUCCGCCACCGCUGCUCUCGGCUCUGCAAAAUGCAAAUUGCUGCGCUUGACCUCCCCGGGAUAACGAGGGGAAACCUCCCCUAAUUAGCACUGCAGUCUGUGGAACACAACGGAAUCAAGGCAAAGCUGCGGUGCAGCGUCCUCCUCCCUGCCAGGACACCCUGGAGGGCCGGCGGUGGAGGCACGGCAAUCCCGGGGACACGGAGAGGACAGCAGCAAUUCCAGGGGUGUGCGCACAGCAUUUACAGGCAUCAGUGACAAGAACCCUGGUGUCCUUUGAGGGGACCCUGCGGGACGGCUGCAGCAAGGAUUUGCAGCUGGUGUAAUUACCACUUAACCUGGAGGAGGGAUGUACCCAGCGUGCCCGGCAGCUCGAUACACUCGCAACUGAGCAGCCUCCACCGCAGAUAAUUAAAAGAGAAGGGCUCCUGCCUGCCUGGCCUCGGCAGCCGAGUGUUUGUUUUAGUCAGGAGAACCUCGUGUGCCUGAGCUCAUCCCAGGGCUGCCGGCUCCUCUCAAGGCUCCCGAAAGCCAAGCCGGCCUCAUCUCAGCCGCAAUUUCCAUGUGAUUAUUGCCUCCUCGGAAAUUCAGCUCAGGCUGUCCUUCCCUCGCCUGGUUCCAGCCUCCAAGGAGACCCGGCUCCAGCCCGGGGGAUUGGGAUCACGGCUGCUCCUCGCUCACUCCUGGCCUCAUCCCUCAUCCACCCUGCUGAGCUGGGAGGAUGAGAACAAACUGUUUAUAAGAUGCCCAAUUAACGUUUCUGCUAUCAGAGUCAUGCCAGGAAAAGGAAACAGGCUCAUUUCACACAGCCACUGCUUCCCUGCUAUCACUGUGUCCCACAGAGCACCAGGGACCGCUUCUCCUGUCCUGAGCUCUGCCCGAGCCCCAGCUCCAGGGGGACAGCAGGGUCACCCACACUGACCUUUUCCAUCCCCCCUCCUCAAUGACAACAGCAAGAA
Molecule: long non-coding RNA, 1133 nt
Organism: Cyanistes caeruleus (blue tit)
Lineage: Eukaryota; Metazoa; Chordata; Aves; Passeriformes; Paridae
Source: RefSeq, a predicted model, not a curated record